CCUACGGGAGGCAGCAGUGAGGAAUAUUGGUCAAUGGGCGCGAGACUGAACCAGCCAAGUAGCGUGAAGGAUGACUGCCCUACGGGUUGUAAACUUCUUUUAUCAAGGAAUAAAGUGAGGCACGUGUGCCUGUUUGAAUGUACUUUAUGAAUAAGGAUCGGCUAACUCCGUGCCAGCAGCCGCGGUAAUACGGAGGAUCCGAGCGUUAUCCGGAUUUAUUGGGUUUAAAGGGAGCGUAGAUGGGUUGUUAAGUCAGUGGUGAAAGUCUGCGGCUCAACCGUAAAAUUGCAAUUGAUACUGGCAGUCUUGAGUACAGUUGAGGUAGGCGGAAUGCGUGGUGUAGCGGUGAAAUGCAUAGAUAUCACGAAGAACUCCGAUUGCGAAGGCAGCUUACUAAACUGCCACUGACAUUGAGGCACGAAAGUGUGGGUAUCAAACAGGAUUAGAUACCCCAGUAGUC
RNAcentral lists this ribosomal RNA (460 nucleotides) under uncultured bacterium. RNAcentral's name for it is "partial 16S ribosomal RNA". It matches the Rfam family "Bacterial small subunit ribosomal RNA", at positions 338 to 795 of the family's 1533-position model. The record is from RNAcentral.